This is a long non-coding RNA of Amphimedon queenslandica, 138 nucleotides long. RefSeq lists it as uncharacterized. The transcript has 2 exons. The record is from RefSeq and is a predicted model, not a curated record. NCBI's taxonomy places the organism in Eukaryota, Metazoa, Porifera, Demospongiae, Haplosclerida, Niphatidae.
ACAAUCAAAAUCUCAAAACUGACGUUUCUGAGAAAGACAAAGUUAUAGCCAAACUGGCAUCAAAUGAAAAACAGAUCGUUACUGACCUUAAAGAAAAGGACUUGCACAUAGCCAAACUAUUGAAGGAAAGACAAGAGA